Molecule: ribosomal RNA, 454 nt
Filed under: uncultured bacterium
Lineage: Bacteria
Description: partial 16S ribosomal RNA
Rfam family: Bacterial small subunit ribosomal RNA
Source: RNAcentral
ACGGAAGGCAGCAGUGAGGAAUAUUGGUCAAUGGGCGGAAGCCUGAACCAGCCAUGCCGCGUGAAGGAAUAAGGCCCUAUGGGUCGUAAACUUCUUUUGACGGGGAGCAAUAAGGCGUACGUGUACGCCGAUGAGAGUACUCGUCGAAUAAGCAUCGGCUAACUCCGUGCCAGCAGCCGCGGUAAUACGGAGGAUGCAAGCGUUAUCCGGAUUUAUUGGGUUUAAAGGGUGCGUAGGCUGUGCGUCAAGUCAGCGGUGAAAGCCCGGGGCUCAACUCCGGAACUGCCGUUGAUACUGUCGCGCUGGAAUACGGAUGCCGUGGGAGGAAUGAGUAGUGUAGCGGUGAAAUGCAUAGAUAUUACUCAGAACACCGAUUGCGAAGGCAUCUCACGAAUCCGUCAUUGACGCUGAGGCACGAAAGCGUGGGGAUCAAACAGGAUUAGAUACCCUGGUA